This 462-nucleotide ribosomal RNA is filed under the name uncultured bacterium. Its description in RNAcentral is "partial 16S ribosomal RNA". It matches the Rfam family "Bacterial small subunit ribosomal RNA", at positions 29 to 523 of the family's 1533-position model. The record is from RNAcentral.
AACGAACGCUGGCGGCACGCCUAACACAUGCAAGUCGAACGAAGCUAAGCAGCUUGCUGCUUGGACUGAGUGGCGCACGGGUGAGUAACAUGUGGGAAUUUGCCUAUCGGUGGGGAAUAACCUUUGGAAACGAAGGAUAAUACCGCAUACGCCCUUCGGGGGAAAGAUUUAUCGCCGAUAGAUAAGCCCGCACUAGAUUAGCUUGUUGGUGAGGUAAUGGCUCACCAAGGCAAUGAUCUAUAGCUGGUCUGAGAGGAUGGUCAGCCACACUGGGACCGAGACACGGCCCAGACUCCUACGGGAGGCAGCAGUGGGGAAUAUUGGACAAUGGGGGAAACCCUGAUCCAGCGAUGCCGCGUGAGUGAAGAAGGCCUUCGGGUUGUAAAGCUCUUUCAAGAGGGAAGAUAAUGACGGUACCUCUAUAAGAAGCACCGGCUAACUUCGUGCCAGCAGCCGCCGCGG